AUUAGAGUUUGAUCCUGGCUCAGGAUGAACGCUGGCGGUAUGCUUAACACAUGCAAGUCGAACGGAGUACUUCGGUACUUAGUGGCGGACGGGUGAGUAACGCGUGAGAAUCUGCCUUCAGGUUCGGGACAACCACUGGAAACGGUGGCUAAUACCGAAUGUGCAGCAAUGUGAAAUAUUAAUAGCCUGAAGAUGAGCUCGCGUCUGAUUAGCUAGUAGGUGUGGUAAGAGCGCACCUAGGCGACGAUCAGUAGCUGGUCUGAGAGGAUGACCAGCCACACUGGGACUGAGACACGGCCCAGACUCCUACGGGAGGCAGCAGUGGGGAAUUUUCCGCAAUGGGCGAAAGCCUGACGGAGCAAUACCGCGUGAGGGAGGAAGGCUCUUGGGUUGUAAACCUCUUUUCUCAGGGAAUAAGUACUGAAGGUACCUGAGGAAUCAGCAUCGGCUAACUCCGUGCCAGCAGCCGCGGUAAUACGGAGGAUGCAAGCGUUAUCCGGAAUGAUUGGGCGUAAAGCGUCCGCAGGUGGUUUUUCAAGUCUGCUGUCAAAGAAUCUGGCUCAACCAGAUAAAGGCAGUGGAAACUGAACGACUAGAGUAUGGUAGGGGUAGAGGGAAUUCCUGGUGUAGCGGUGAAAUGCGUAGAGAUCAGGAAGAACACCGGUGGCGAAAGCGCUCUGCUGGACCAUAACUGACACUGAGGGACGAAAGCUAGGGGAGCGAAUGGGAUUAGAUACCCCAGUAGUCCUAGCCGUAAACGAUGGAUACUAGGCGUUGCCCGUAUCGACCCGGGCAGUGUCGUAGCCAACGCGUUAAGUAUCCCGCCUGGGGAGUACGCACGCAAGUGUGAAACUCAAAGGAAUUGACGGGGGCCCGCACAAGCGGUGGAGUAUGUGGUUUAAUUCGAUGCAACGCGAAGAACCUUACCAGGGCUUGACAUGUCCGGAAUCUUCUGGAAACGGAAGAGUGCCUACGGGAGCCGGAACACAGGUGGUGCAUGGCUGUCGUCAGCUCGUGUCGUGAGAUGUUGGGUUAAGUCCCGCAACGAGCGCAACCCUCGUUCUUAGUUGCCAGCAAUUCGGUUGGGCACUCUAGGGAGACUGCCGGUGACAAACCGGAGGAAGGUGGGGAUGACGUCAAGUCAGCAUGCCCCUUACGUCCUGGGCGACACACGUACUACAAUGCUGUGGACAAAGGGCAGCAAGCUAGCAAUAGCAAGCAAAUCCCAUAAACCACGGCUCAGUUCAGAUCGCAGGCUGCAACUCGCCUGCGUGAAGGAGGAAUCGCUAGUAAUUGCAGGUCAGCAUACUGCAGUGAAUUCGUUCCCGGGCCUUGUACACACCGCCCGUCACACCAUGGAAGCUGGUCACGCCCGAAGUCGUUACCCUAACCUUUCGAGGAGGGGGACGCCGAAGGUAGGACUGGUGACUGGGGUGAAGUCGUAACAAGGUAACCAAU
Molecule: ribosomal RNA, 1458 nt
Filed under: uncultured bacterium
Lineage: Bacteria
Description: bacterial SSU rRNA
Rfam family: Bacterial small subunit ribosomal RNA
Source: RNAcentral